AGGGUUCCUGGCCCUGAGUGCUCACAGAGGGGAGGCUCCAAAGGCUAACACACUGAUUUUUGGGAUUUUUCCCAGACAAAUUCUCCUCUCUUCAGACCCAAAGCUGCAGGUCCAGCUCUCCAAACCCAGCACCAGGAUCAAACCCUUUCCCACCUUUCCCCUCCCAGCCCCAGUGCUCCAGGAGCUCUGCCCUGGCAGAUUCCACAGUGCUCUCCAAAAGCUCUGAAAUUGCCACAGGCUUCAAACCCAAAUUCCCACUCACUUUUAAUGGACUCCAAGGUAAAUUUGCUCAGGCCCAGCCUCCUGGAAAGCAAAUUUGCCCAGCCCUGAGCAGGUGUGAGCAGAGCUGCCAGCCUGGCUGCAUCCAUCACCACCCUGCAGAAUCCUCAAACACAACCCUCACAUGGGGAAAAGGGGAAAUGGGAAUUUAUUUAACAUUUAUAUCUUCUCUUUAUUGCAGCAAAUGCGUUUUAUGUCCCAGAGAUGAAAUAUGGAGCACGAGGCCCAUCCAUGAGCAGCUCAGCCCCAGUUUUGUUUAGUAAAUCAUUUGCUGAUGGCUUUGGAGAGGAUCCAUCAAUCUUUCCUGGAUUGCUCCUUUCAGAUCCUCAGCUUUUGCAGGAAUCUUCAUCUGCAUAUUCAGACACUGGGAGAGUGACACCAGUUAUCUCAAAGACUGGAAAAAAGUUCUGGCUUUCAGCUCCUGAGGAUCUGGGAUCUGGUUUUGGAGGAUUUGGGAUGUGAGAGCUGCCCCCAGGAAGAAAAAGGUCUGGGAAAGAGGGGCAGGUCAGAGGGGAGUGACUUGGAACCACUGGGAGGAGGAUCAUGGCAAAACUCCCAGGGGGAUUCCCAGAACAUCUGAUCCAGGGGAGAGAGGGGACAGCCCUGAUUCCCAGAGCUCUGUCCCUGCCCUCAUUCCCAGCUCUGUCCAUUCCUCAUUCCCAAUCCUGUCCAUUCCCAGAGCCCUGUCCAUCCCCAGCCCUGUCCAUUCCCAGCCCUGUCCAUUCCCAGAGCUCUGUCCAUUCCCAGAGUUCUGUCCAUUCCCAGAGUUCUGUUCAUUCCCAGCCCUGUCCAUCCCCAGCCCUGGCCAUUCCCCAGCCCUGUCCAUUCCCAGAGUUCUGUCCAUCCCCAGCCCUGUCCAUUCCCAGCCCUGUCCAUCCCCAGC
Molecule: long non-coding RNA, 1162 nt
Organism: Passer domesticus (house sparrow)
Lineage: Eukaryota; Metazoa; Chordata; Aves; Passeriformes; Passeridae
Exons: 3
Source: RefSeq, a predicted model, not a curated record